Molecule: ribosomal RNA, 804 nt
Filed under: Streptomyces sp.
Lineage: Bacteria; Bacillati; Actinomycetota; Actinomycetes; Kitasatosporales; Streptomycetaceae
Description: bacterial SSU rRNA
Rfam family: Bacterial small subunit ribosomal RNA
Source: RNAcentral
GACGGGUGAGUAACACGUGGGCAAUCUGCCCUGCACUCUGGGACAAGCCCUGGAAACGGGGUCUAAUACCGGAUAAUACUCUGUCCCGCAUGGGAUGGGGUUGAAAGCUCCGGCGGUGCAGGAUGAGCCCGCGGCCUAUCAGCUUGUUGGUGGGGUGAUGGCCUACCAAGGCGACGACGGGUAGCCGGCCUGAGAGGGCGACCGGCCACACUGGGACUGAGACACGGCCCAGACUCCUACGGGAGGCAGCAGUGGGGAAUAUUGCACAAUGGGCGAAAGCCUGAUGCAGCGACGCCGCGUGAGGGAUGACGGCCUUCGGGUUGUAAACCUCUUUCAGCAGGGAAGAAGCGCAAGUGACGGUACCUGCAGAAGAAGCGCCGGCUAACUACGUGCCAGCAGCCGCGGUAAUACGUAGGGCGCAAGCGUUGUCCGGAAUUAUUGGGCGUAAAGAGCUCGUAGGCGGCUUGUCACGUCGGUUGUGAAAGCCCGGGGCUUAACCCCGGGUCUGCAGUCGAUACGGGCAGGCUAGAGUGUGGUAGGGGAGAUCGGAAUUCCUGGUGUAGCGGUGAAAUGCGCAGAUAUCAGGAGGAACACCGGUGGCGAAGGCGGAUCUCUGGGCCAUUACUGACGCUGAGGAGCGAAAGCGUGGGGAGCGAACAGGAUUAGAUACCCUGGUAGUCCACGCCGUAAACGUUGGGAACUAGGUGUUGGCGACAUUCCACGUCGUCGGUGCCGCAGCUAACGCAUUAAGUUCCCCGCCUGGGGAGUACGGCCGCAAGGCUAAAACUCAAAGGAAUUGACGGG